RNAcentral lists this ribosomal RNA (150 nucleotides) under Triticum aestivum (bread wheat). RNAcentral describes it as "partial small subunit ribosomal RNA". The record is from RNAcentral. Lineage: Eukaryota; Viridiplantae; Streptophyta; Magnoliopsida; Poales; Poaceae.
AUGAUCAAACUCGACAUUCAACGCGCCUUUGAUACCGUGUCAUGGGAGUUCCUUCUUGAGUUGCUUGUUGCAAGAGGAUUUGGGAGAGGUUUCACCAAUUGUCUGUCAGCGCUUCUCAGCUCCUCUUCGACAAGGAUCCUUGUCAAUGGU